GCCGCCAUAGUUCAAUGGAUAGAACGAGGGACUCCUAAGCCCUAAAUGCAGGUUCGAUUCCUGCUGGUGGCA
RNAcentral lists this transfer RNA (72 nucleotides) under Candidatus Taylorbacteria bacterium RIFCSPHIGHO2_01_FULL_43_120. RNAcentral's name for it is "tRNA-Arg". It matches the Rfam family "tRNA". Rfam says of the family: Transfer RNA (tRNA) molecules are approximately 80 nucleotides in length. RNAcentral also lists the same sequence under 5 other names. Lineage: Bacteria; Candidatus Tayloriibacteriota. The record is from RNAcentral.